GUGAGGAAUCUUGCACAAUGGGGGCAACCCUGAUGCAGCGACGCCGCGUGCGGGAAGAAGGCCUUCGGGUCGUAAACCGCUUUUCUGGGGGAAGAGGAAGGACGGUACCCCAGGAAUAAGUCCCGGCUAACUACGUGCCAGCAGCCGCGGUAAAACGUAGGGGGCGAGCGUUAUCCGGAAUUACUGGGCGUAAAGGGCGUCUAGGCGGCACGCCAAGUCUCGCGUGAAAGCUCCCGGCUCAACUGGGAGAGGGCGCGGGAAACUGGCGAGCUAGAGACUCGGAGGGGGGUGUGGAAUUCCCGGUGGAGUGGUGAAAUGCGUUGAGAUCGGGAGGAACACCCGUGGCGAAGGCGGCACCCUGGCCGAGGUCUGACGCUGAAGCGCGACAGCGUGGGGAGCGAACGGGAUUAGAAACCCUAGUAGUCC
RNAcentral lists this ribosomal RNA (426 nucleotides) under uncultured bacterium. RNAcentral describes it as "bacterial SSU rRNA". It matches the Rfam family "Bacterial small subunit ribosomal RNA", at positions 354 to 796 of the family's 1533-position model. The record is from RNAcentral.